GAAACACACCUGUGUUUCUUUGUCCAUUCCAUUCAUUUGGGAUGGUGAUUUUUUCCCUUCACCGAGCACCUGCAGUAAGAGAAUUCCACACUCCAAGUCCCUGCCCUGGAUUUUCUGGUUUUCUGUGUUGGAGGAGACAAGGGGAGUUACAGUAAAAAUGACAGGAAGGUCGGCGUGACCGUGGCUUAAGAACUGGGACCCUGAGUUUGACAAAUGCUGCAGCCUCACAUGAUUUUGCUCCGUGCCUUCUGGAUCUGUUACAACUGGCAGUAGUUCCAACACAAUGCGUUUAUUGUGCUUCCAGGAGGGCAGUUGUACCUGGGAAAGCAACACAACUCAGAGUUCUUCUGAAAUUACUCAGCUCUGGCUGGUGUGACACUCUUGGUGUGAGACUGAGCCCCAGCUCCCACCUCUGCACCCUCUGGCCAGAAGAGGCAAAGCUCUCCCCGAGGAGAAGCUGCUGGGACAGGAAGCACUGGGCAGGUGCUGUGCAGCUGCCCCGUGUUUGGGAAUUGCUGUGUGUUGUCUUUCAGCGAGGCAGCUCCCCUGGAAUGGAGAUUUUCACCUCAGGCUUGCCCCUCCUGCAGUGCCAGAGCUGCUGAGCUGUGCCACAGACUGGCUGGACAAUAUCCUUCACCUGGGAACACCAGGUACCCACAGGAAAGAAGGCAUUUUUCUUUGGCUGAAAUGGAUCCUUAAAAAACAUAUUCUGAAAUAAGUGAAGAGAAAGGACCCACAGUGCAGGAAAUGUCCACGUUGAGAAUGCAGAUUCUGUUCCUGCUUUGUCCCUGCAAAGCCUGGAGUCCUUGUGCUGCUGUCCUGAGAAUGCUAUAAAAGAGAAAAUUACCAAGUUGGAGGGUCGGAUGAGUAGAAAAUGACGAGCUGCUCGUCGGUGUGCUCAGCCUUGGCUGAGAUUGCAUCUGCUGCAGGUGUGUGGCACACAGAGCUCCUGAAGCUCCUGCAGCAGCCCUGGAGCGUGGCACAGCAGUGCUGCUGCCUGUGCAGCCUCUCCUGAGGCACAGCCCAGCCAUGCCAGAGCCCUGCAUGUCCCCGGGGAUCGCCCUCCCUCCAGGGCUGGGCACCCCACAAGCACCAGAAAGUUCUUUCCAUGAGCUGAGUGGUCACAUGAAGGAGCCCAGGUCCUGCAAGGAUGAAGUAAAUGUUGGAGAAGCCAGUUGGUGACCUUUCCCUCCCAGCUUCCCUGGCUCCAUUCUCCAACUCGGCUUCAUCCACUGGGGGUGAUCUCCAGACCUCUGAGCUCCUCCCUUGUCCUCCCUGGAUUCCCUUCAUGUCACAGCCUCACGGGCACAGUGUGCAGAGCAGAUGACAUCUCCCCAGGUAGGACUGAGCCCUGCAGAAGGAUAAUUUCCAUAUUUUGGUGGCCACAGUUCCAUUUGCUGUCCCAGUGAUGCCUCUCAUCCUCAGCUCCCUUCCCCACCUGGAGUGCCACCAUUGAUUGUCUCUGCCCAGGUGUGGGGCUGCUUUGUCUCUCUUCAGCCACAGGUGUUCUUUGAAGGUGAUUUCUGCAAUGCCAGGACCUUUUUGGAUUUCAGCCCCUUGCAGUGCCAGCAGCCAGUUUAAGCAGCUCACCCCUCCUCUGGCAUGCAAGUCAUUAAUGAAGAAAUUAAUAAUGCUCAGUUCAAGGGACUGAGGCAAUGAAGAGAGCUCUGAUUUGCAAAGCUGAAUAAAACAAAAGCACAGAGGAACCUGGCUGGGCGUGCUGACCUUCUUUUCAGUUUUCAAGCAACUCCAAACUGAAUCUGGCUCAGAACUGGCCGUGAUCCUCGUUUUCAUGCAGAGCCAUUAACCUCUCACUUACUGAGGCAAGCAAACUGUUAUUUGCUGGUAUAAAAAACCACCUCUGGCCUUCCUCAUUUUCUCCUGAGACAUCUGAAAAUGGCCUGAACCUCCUGUGGGGUCUCGUCCCUGCUCUCCAGAGCCCUGUCCAAGGGAGAACCACCCCAACAUCCAGACUGGAGCUGUGCAGAGAUGGACAGCAGGGAAGGAGCAGCUGGGCACCAAAGCUUUGUCUGGAGUGCAACCACUGAGGAACAUGCUAAAGAUGUCUCUGAUUUUCCAUCAGGAUCAGGAUUUUCACAGAACUCAGUGCAAGGGCAGAGGAAUGCCAGAAUCCCACCAAGCAAGCCAAGGCAGUGUCCUGCUGGAAUCCCAAAUCCCCCCGUGCCCCUGCCCAGCAGGGCUCUGGUGCCUCCUGCCCUGCCUGGGAGCCUCUCCCUGAGCUGUGGGAGGUGGGAAUUGUCCCUCUCAGGUGUGUGCAGCAGCCCUCACCCACCCCUGGCUGCUUCAGCCCGUUCUUGAUGGCCAGCCAAACCCAGCACGCCGCUCCCCACGGAGUGCACACACACAUGAGGUAAGAACAGCCAUAAAAGCUUCUGAGGCCUCUUAAUUUCCCCCCUUUGCAUCAUCUGUCAUGAAGGCUCGCUGGAGAUGGGCUGUGCUCACUCAAGGCACAGCUAAUGUGCUUUUGAUGCUGCUGUUUGCAAAAUCUCUGACUUACUGGCAAUAAAUCCCAGGGCUGUGCCUGGGAAAGGAGAAUUUGCCAGCCUGUGCAUUGCAGGUGGCACUUGAUAAAUGCAGGAAUGCUCUAGGAGUGGUUGGGUGCUGGGCUUGAGGAGAGGAAUCCCCAAAAUCUCAGAUUUUGGGAGACAGAGUCUAUCAAAACAAAGUGAGGAACGCGCUGCUGGCGUGCAGCUCCUGCCAAGUGGAAGCUGAAACCAAACUGGCAGAAACACCAGGGACUAUUUUUUUUUUUUUCUAAAAAAGCUCCACUCUUUGGGUGUAAAAACCUAGAAAAUGUGGUUUUUUCUUGCUGUUUCUGCUCACAGGACCUGCCAGGCUGCUCCUGAACAUGUGUGACACUUUGGCAGCCGUGGGCCAGGUGGGAUCCCGAGCUCACCUGGGGCUGUGAAGGGCGAGCAGGGCCACAGGAGUUCCUCCCACACCAACCCCUUUGGCCUUUGCUGCUCCUGAGUCUUCCCCAGCAGGAUUCAACAACUGUGCAACAUCCCUGGAACUGCAGGGCUUGGAUGCUAACUGUGGGGGAAAUCUUUUGGGAGGGAUGGAAGGGCUGGGCAUCCCAGCAGGCUGAGAGCUCAGGACCAGGAAAGGAAGGAUUUUGCUCCCUUUGUGCCCUCCAGGCAGAUUCUGGCAGCUCUCAGCAUCCCUUGGAGCAGGGCAGGGUGAGAGGGUGUCCUGCCCCAGCAGGGGAUGUUUCUCCUUGUGAAAAUCCAGGAGAAUUACCAUUAGAACCCUGUGCCUGCCAUUAAAGGGACGCUCAUGCUGCACUCCCUGUGUUCUUGGAGGUCUCAUCUGGGAAUAAAAAGUUUCAAUUGGCUGAUAAGUAGUGAUUCAUUCUCAAAAAAGCCCAAACAAAUCAUACUUCCCUUAAUUCAACUCCUGGAAUUUUUGGUUAAUAUCUGAUUCCACGGUCUGAUCCAUCUCCAAUUCAUCCUCUCUUGUCUGGCUGCUUUUAAUAACUGCAACACCCUCAGCUGUUGUUUUGUUUAGGUAAUAGAGAACAAUUCAGCCUGAAGAAAAUUAAUUUUCCUGUUUCACGUGGCUUUGGGUUUCUUUCUUUUCUUUUUUUGUUACUUGUAGUUUUUAAAAUGAAUUCUAGAAAAUAGCAAUGAAAAUAUGGGAGGGGAGUCUGAAGUAAACAUUGAUUUUUACAGUGCAAUAAUUUAUGGUACCAACUUAAUAAGUGGUGUGACACGAGCAGCUCACCCCCCAUUUAUCAUGCAUUGAUAGUUUGAUUCCAGAACUUUUACCACCACUGCUCACUGUGACAUAAUAAAGGACCUGCCAACAUUCCCAUUAGAACCAGGAGACUUCAGGAGUUCUGCUCCAGCUAUAAAUAUCAGUGCUUGGAAUCUGUGAAUUAUUUUGCAGAGUAGCAGCCUCGGGAUGACGUGUUCCAGCAGCUACCAAGAAAUCAGACUUUGCCACUUUUGAACUUGAGGAGGACAUCUCCCUCCUUCCAGAAGAAAAGGCUCAGGGAUGCUUUUCAUUAUGCCCACCAUCAAAAGUUUACCAACUCAGAGACAGCUGCUGAGCUGAAAUAAAUCACUUUAGUUCCCCAGAUGGCGAGGAGGAGCCAGCAGUGUCCACGAAGAGGUUCUGGGGAGGCUGGCUGGAGCUGGGCAGGGGCUCUGCCAGGGCAGGCACACAAAGAGCAGCUGAGUUCAGCUCAGCUCUGCAGAGCCCAGCUCAGGAGUGCCCAGAGCAUCCUGCUCAGGAGGGCACAGGGGAGCCUGGUGAGUGCCAGUCCUGCUGCAGGUUCAGCACCAUGAUCUCAGUGAUUUCUGCAGGUGUCACAAUGAUCUCUGCAGGUGACAGCACUAUGAU
Long non-coding RNA from Haemorhous mexicanus (house finch), 4365 nucleotides. RefSeq lists it as uncharacterized. The record is from RefSeq and is a predicted model, not a curated record. The transcript is spliced from 15 exons. NCBI's taxonomy places the organism in Eukaryota, Metazoa, Chordata, Aves, Passeriformes, Fringillidae.